RNAcentral lists this long non-coding RNA (1677 nucleotides) under Nicotiana tabacum (common tobacco). RNAcentral's name for it is "long non-coding RNA (NTAB_LNC000387)". The record is from RNAcentral. Lineage: Eukaryota; Viridiplantae; Streptophyta; Magnoliopsida; Solanales; Solanaceae.
CCCUAAACCUAAAUGCAGAAAAUGAUGCUACUGUUCAUCUUCUUCACUGAGCCCGACCCGAACUCGCCUGGAACUCAGGCGAGUUCACUCAAAUGGCCCCCUCCCCUCCACGUCACCUUUAUUCCAAUGGUUUUGUAAAAAAAAACGAAUAUUCGCUCCAAUUUUGCACGAUUUUUGGUACGAAAGGACGAUUUGCUGGAUGAAUGGGAGCCGUGGAUGGAUGUAAAUCGAUCUAUGCCUUCCAUUUGUCCCAAAAAUCAUUCAAAAACGUGAAGGUUUUUCGGAUUUUUGGCAGAAGAUUUGAGAUUUUUUGAAGGCUAUAUAUAUGAGGUAAGUUUCUUUGCUAGAUUAGAGGAAAAAUCGGAGAAAAAGUCUUGAUAAAACUUAGUAGAAAAAUUCCUAGGUUUUUUUUAGUUGUCACCCUCUUCAGACCUCUUUCUUUUUUUAGUCAACUUUUUUCUUCAGAAAACAUACAAAAAAAGGCACGAUGGUUUGAGGUCAUUUCUUCAGUCGAGUUCACUUCAUCUUUUCAAAAAAUAAAAAAUCAAUAAAAAAGAGAGCACUGAAACAGAGAUUUUUAGCAUUUGUUCUUCCUCUUGAAGUUUUGGUUCUUAAAGGAAGUUUUGGUUAAAGUUUAAGGUGGAGUUGAGUUGGGUUUCGAAAAUUGGAUUUCAAAGAAAUUUUUAAAAAAGGGUAUUGAUUACUAGAGUUUCAAAACUUCAAUUUACUCUUUUUCUGGACUUGAACGAAGCUGUCAAAGCGCAAAUUUGUGGCUGUUUAUCGUUGAGUUUGCUGGACUCCAAAAGGCUGUUGAAUUCUUUUGUCUUGCUGCAUCUAGGUAAGUUUUCCACUUUGUAAUUAUACCAGCUUGAGUCAAUGAACGAAAAUCGGUUGUUUUGAUUUCCCUAUCAUGCAUUUGAUUUGCUUGUUUGUUACUGACGCCACAAUCUCUCUUAGGUGUAUUUGAUAUUGCAUUGUUAAUAUGCAUUGAACAUUUUUCUUAGUUGCAUUUUGUAUUUGAAUGAAUUUAAAGUCGGCUUAUGUGUAGUAGCUCGAAAUAUAACACUCAUAUGGAUCAAUUUGAUAUUUAUGGUCAUUUAAGCAUAUAUCAUUUUUUGUUAAACCAUUUGUUAGUCUUGAAUGAGGUUGAAGUUUUGUUUAAUUAUUUUGUAGAUUUAGUUAUAAUUCAAGCAGAAGGUUAUCAUGGUACUCUAUGUAUGGAGUUAGUAAAUUGGAGGUGCCAAAAGCUGUCAUUACUGAGUACAUGGCUAUAGUUUGCAUAUCUGGCCACUAGUUGGUUAUAUCAGUAAAAUCUAAAGCUAAGGAUUGGAAUUGAAGUCGUUGGGUGUAAAAAAAAAAGGUUUAAGCUGGAGAUUAGCUGUGCCUUGUUUAGGAUAGUUUAUUGCUUUCUGCAUAUAUUAGAAUGUAUUAUGUCCGUUAUCAUCUUUGAGAAUUGUAAUUGAGGUGACCAGAACUACAACUCCAAUUUAUAUUCAUCUAUAUUUGAUUCUAGUUGUAUAUAAAAGUCUGGACCUGUGUUAGUGACCCAUUUGAGGUUUAGCAGUAGUUCUCUCUGUCACUGCUCUUUGGAUUUGUCCCAGUCUUUUGUUCAUUGGAGCAGCUGAGGCCAAAAUUCUUCAAUUUUGGAAUGGCCCAUAUGUAUCAGUUCAUAGAUUC